GUCGAGCGGUAGAGAGAAGCUUGCUUCUCUUGAGAGCGGCGGACGGGUGAGUAAUGCCUAGGAAUCUGCCUGGUAGUGGGGGAUAACGUUCGGAAACGGACGCUAAUACCGCAUACGUCCUACGGGAGAAAGCAGGGGACCUUCGGGCCUUGCGCUAUCAGAUGAGCCUAGGUCGGAUUAGCUAGUUGGUGGGGUAAUGGCUCACCAAGGCGACGAUCCGUAACUGGUCUGAGAGGAUGAUCAGUCACACUGGAACUGAGACACGGUCCAGACUCCUACGGGAGGCAGCAGGGGGGAAUAUUGGACAAUGGGCGAAAGCCUGAUCCAGCCAUGCCGCGUGUGUGAAAAGGUCUUCGGAUUGUAAAGCACUUUAAGUUGGGAGGAAGGGUUGUAGAUUAA
RNAcentral lists this ribosomal RNA (399 nucleotides) under Pseudomonas synxantha. Its description in RNAcentral is "bacterial SSU rRNA". It matches the Rfam family "Bacterial small subunit ribosomal RNA", at positions 61 to 463 of the family's 1533-position model. Lineage: Bacteria; Pseudomonadati; Pseudomonadota; Gammaproteobacteria; Pseudomonadales; Pseudomonadaceae. The record is from RNAcentral.